AUACUGGAAUUCUCGGUGGAGGGGUGAAAUCCGUUGAUAUCGAGAAGAACGCCAAAGACGAAGGUAAGUAUCUAGAACUAUGCUGACGCUCAGGGACGAAAGCUAGGGUAGCAAACUGGAUUAGAGACCCAGGUAGUCCUAGCUGUAAACUAUGAACACUAGCUGGUUGGAUGAAUUUCUGACCGGCGCAAGCUAACGCGUUAAGUGUUCCGCCUGGGGAGUACGGCCGCAAGGCUAAAACUCAAAGGAAUUGACGGGGAAACGCACAACCGGCGUCCCAUGUGGUUUAAUUCGAAACGAAACGAAGAACCUUACCUAGGUUUGACAUCCCGAUCGUACGUCUUGGAAACAAGAUGGUCAGUUCGGCUGGAUCGGUGACAGCUGCUGCAUGGUUGUCGUCAGCUCGUGUCGUGAGGCGUCCUUUUAAGUAAGGUAACGAGCGCAACCCCUGUCGUAUGUUAAAUGUUCAUGCGAGACUGCCUUGGUGCAACCAAGGAGGAAGGAGGGGACGACGUCAAAUCAGCAUGGCGCUUACAUCUAGGGCUACACACAUGGGGUAAUGGCGAAUACAACGGGUCGCGAGGGAGUAAUCCGGAGCUAAUCCUUUAAAAUUCGCCUCAGUUCGGAUUGUGGGCUGCAAUUCGCCCACAUGAAGGGGAGUCGGUAGUAAUCGCAGGUCAGCUAUACUGCGGUGAAUACGUUCUCGUUUCUUGUACACACUGCCCGUCAAGUCAACAAAGUCAGCAGUGCCCGAAGUCGGUACCUCCUCGGAGGCCGCCUAAGGCAAGGUUGGCGAUGGGGGCUAAGUCGUAACAAGGUAACCAAUCGAAUUCCCGCGGCC
Molecule: ribosomal RNA, 841 nt
Filed under: uncultured bacterium
Lineage: Bacteria
Description: bacterial SSU rRNA
Rfam family: Bacterial small subunit ribosomal RNA
Source: RNAcentral